Vespula pensylvanica (western yellowjacket) is the source of this 483-nucleotide long non-coding RNA. RefSeq lists it as uncharacterized. The transcript has 3 exons. The record is from RefSeq and is a predicted model, not a curated record. NCBI's taxonomy places the organism in Eukaryota, Metazoa, Arthropoda, Insecta, Hymenoptera, Vespidae.
CUGAGCGGGGGUAGAGGGUGGAAAAAACACGGAAACCGCAUAUCGUCGGCCCCGUUGGCACCCCCGCGUUCGCCACCAAAAGAGAGAAAGAGAAAGAAAAAGAGAGAGAAGGGUGUUUCCUUCCGGUCCUGCCAAUUCCUAUGAGAAAACUAACAAGGCUCAUUCAUCUUUCGUUACGUGUCGAGUAAAGGUACCGAUCGUGUAACUUCUGUCAUGAAAGAAGAAGAUUUUAAGAUUGUAAGUGGUGACCUAGUUUCUUCAGGAUCAAUCAGCUGAUCCUUCGGUAAGUACCUACGUAUCUACCUACCUACUUAGCUACCUAUCUAACUACUACAGUAGAAUAAAAUCAAAAUGAUCACGAGAAGAAAUUUCUCCCUUUGCUCGUUAAUCGAACGGUUGGAUGAUUCGAGAACCAGUUCGUAAUCGGCCCAAGUGGAAAACUGGGCUAGCAAAUAGAUAUUGAUGAUGAUAAUGAUGAUGACG